GUGAGAGUAUAAAAGGAGGGACGGACGGACAGACAGAGGCACGCGUGGGCAGGCAAAGGUAGGGGGGAGCGGACGGAUGGGCAGACAGAUGGAUAAGGGAUAGAUGGAUGGACGGACGGAUGGAGGAGGUGGUUUGGGUGGAGGUGGAUGGACAGACGGAUGGGUGGACAAGGGAUGGAUGGGUGGACAGGUAGUCUGAUAGGCAGACAGAUGGAUGGACAGACAGGUGGACGGAGGGGAUGAGUUGUGUCUGGAUCGGCAGAUGGACAGACGAAUGGAUGGGUGGAUAAGUGAUGGAUGGACAGAUGGAGGCAAUGUGUUGGAUGGAGGCGGACAGACAAACAGAUGGACAAAGAGAUGGAUGAACAGAUGGUGGAGGUGUGGGUGGACAGGAAGACGGAUGGAUGUUGGGAUGGAUGUGUCGAUAGAGGGCUGGGCUGAAGGAGGGAUGGACAGACAGACAGAUGGGCAGAUGCUGCAGGAGUGGUGGGAGUGACAGCCCCUGCUGUUCCUUAGGUGCCACACGUCCCUUAUGGCUGUGAUGGCUCUGGGACAGGUCCCCAUUGUGCCCAGUGAGCCCCCAGCGCCGUCAUCCCCCUCUCUCCCCCCACAUCCGUCCUACUACCACACCCCAUCCACCUCCACCCACCCUAUCUGUCCUAUUCAUCUUCCUCACCCACCCUCUCCACCCCUUCCACACCCCAUCCAUCCACCUUCUACAUCCACCCAUCCACCUUCUUCAUUCAUCGCACCCACCCAUCUGUCAUCCCUUCUAUCCGUCCAUCCAUCCGUCCAUCCAUCCAUCCAUCCAUCCAUCCAUCCAAUCCACCAUUCAUCCAUCCAUCCAUCCAUCCAUCCUCCCAUUCAUCCGUCCAUCCUCCCAUCCCUCUAAUCCACCAUCCGUCCUCCCAUCCAUUCGUCCUUCCAUCCAUCUGUCCUCCCAUCCAGUCCUUCUCUACCCACCCAGUCCUUCCAGCCAUGCACCUUUCUGUCUUCUCCAUCCAUCUUGUCCAUCCAUUCUAUCGCCCUUCUCCACCUUAGUCCUUCGCCACCCACCAGCCUUCUGCAUCCAUCCAAUCCAUCCAUCCUCCACCCUUCUCCUCCAGCCUUCACUCCUCCAUUCCUCUCUGUCCCUCACUAUUCUCCAUCCUUCACCUCCGCCCUUCAAUUUUCUCCACCCAUUUUUCCUCCUUUUCCAUUUGUCAUCUUCUUCUUCUCCAUCCCUCUGUCAUUGUCUCCAUCUAUUUUCUCCAUCCUUUGCCCUUCUCCAUGCUUCUGUUUUCUCCAUCCAUCCAGUCCAUCCAUCCUUCAUUCUUCUUCAUCCAACCUUCUGUCUUCUCCAUUCUCCAGCCCUCUCCAUCUCUUCUCCAUCCUUUGCCCUUCUCCUCCAUCCUUUACUCUUCUCCAUCCAUCCAGUCCUUCCACUCAUCCAAUCCUUCCAUCCUUUCAUCAUCUCCAUCCUUCUGUCAUCAUCCCAUCCUUUGACCUUUUCCAUCCAUCUGACCCAUCCAGCCUUCAUUCUUCUUCAUCCAACGUUCUGUCAUCUCCAUCCUUUUCCCUUCUCCGUCAAUUCAAUCCUUUCAACUUUCCCCCUUCUCCAUCCAUCCAAUCCAUCCAGCAUUCAUUCUUCUUCAUCCAGUCUUCUGUCAUCUCAAAC
RNAcentral lists this long non-coding RNA (1657 nucleotides) under Phasianus colchicus (ring-necked pheasant). RNAcentral describes it as "lncRNA (ENSPCLG00000018295.1)". Lineage: Eukaryota; Metazoa; Chordata; Aves; Galliformes; Phasianidae. The record is from RNAcentral.